This 356-nucleotide ribosomal RNA is filed under the name uncultured Bacteroidales bacterium. RNAcentral's name for it is "bacterial SSU rRNA". It matches the Rfam family "Bacterial small subunit ribosomal RNA", at positions 59 to 414 of the family's 1533-position model. The record is from RNAcentral. Lineage: Bacteria; Pseudomonadati; Bacteroidota; Bacteroidia; Bacteroidales.
AAGUCGAGGGGUAGCAGGGUAGCAAUACCGCUGACGACCGGCGCACGGGUGAGUAACACGUAUCCAACCUUCCCAUAACUCGGGGAUAGCCUUUCGAAAGAAAGAUUAAUACCCGAUAGUACUUUUUUAGGGCAUCUUAGAAAAGUUAAAGAUUUAUUGGUUAUGGAUGGGGAUGCGUUCCAUUAGAUAGUUGGUGAGGUAACGGCUCACCAAGUCUUCGAUGGAUAGGGGCUCUGAGAGGAAGGUCCCCCACAUUGGUACUGAGACACGGACCAAACUCCUACGGGAGGCAGCAGUGAGGAAUAUUGGUCAAUGGGCGAGAGCCUGAACCAGCCAAGUAGCGUGAAGGAUGACGG